This 813-nucleotide ribosomal RNA is filed under the name uncultured bacterium. Its description in RNAcentral is "bacterial SSU rRNA". It matches the Rfam family "Bacterial small subunit ribosomal RNA", at positions 51 to 877 of the family's 1533-position model. The record is from RNAcentral.
ACACAUGCAAGUCGAACGAGAGAUGAAGAGCUUGCUCUUCAAAUCGAGUGGCGAACGGGUGAGUAACGCGUGAGGAACCUGCCUCAAAGAGGGGGACAACAGUUGGAAACGACUGCUAAUACCGCAUAAGCCCACGGCUCGGCAUCGAGCAGGGGGAAAAGGAGCAAUCCGCUUUGAGAUGGCCUCGCGUCCGAUUAGCUAGUUGGUGAGGUAACGGCCCACCAAGGCGACGAUCGGUAGCCGGACUGAGAGGUUGAACGGCCACAUUGGGACUGAGACACGGCCCAGACUCCUACGGGAGGCAGCAGUGGGGAAUAUUGCACAAUGGGGGAAACCCUGAUGCAGCGACGCCGCGUGGAGGAAGAAGGUCUUCGGAUUGUAAACUCCUGUUGUUGAGGAAGAUAAUGACGGUACUCAACAAGGAAGUGACGGCUAACUACGUGCCAGCAGCCGCGGUAAAACGUAGGUCACAAGCGUUGUCCGGAAUUACUGGGUGUAAAGGGAGCGCAGGCGGGAGAACAAGUUGGAAGUGAAAUCCAUGGGCUCAACCCAUGAACUGCUUUCAAAACUGUUUUUCUUGAGUAGUGCAGAGGUAGGCGGAAUUCCCGGUGUAGCGGUGGAAUGCGUAGAUAUCGGGAGGAACACCAGUGGCGAAGGCGGCCUACUGGGCACCAACUGACGCUGAGGCUCGAAAGUGUGGGUAGCAAACAGGAUUAGAUACCCUGGUAGUCCACACCGUAAACGAUGAUUACUAGGUGUUGGAGGAUUGACCCCUUCAGUGCCGCAGUUAACACAAUAAGUAAUCCACCUGGG